Molecule: ribosomal RNA, 253 nt
Filed under: uncultured Lachnospiraceae bacterium
Lineage: Bacteria; Bacillati; Bacillota; Clostridia; Lachnospirales; Lachnospiraceae
Description: partial 16S ribosomal RNA
Rfam family: Bacterial small subunit ribosomal RNA
Source: RNAcentral
UACGUAGGGGGCAAGCGUUAUCCGGAUUUACUGGGUGUAAAGGGAGCGCAGGCGGCGCGGCAAGUCUGAUGUGAAAGCCCGGGGCUCAACCCCGGGACUGCAUUUGGAACUGUGCUGCUAGAGUGUCGGAGAGGCAGGCGGAAUUCCUAGUGUAGCGGUGAAAUGCGUAGAUAUUAGGAGGAACACCAGUGGCGAAGGCGGCUUACUGGACUGUAAAUGACGCUGAGGCUCGAAAGCGUGGGGAGCAAACAGG